AUGCAUGUCUAAGUAUAAGCACUUGUACUGUGAAACUGCGAAUGGCUCAUUAAAUCAGUUAUCGUUUAUUUGAUUGUACUUUACUACAUGGAUACCUGUGGUAAUUCUAGAGCUAAUACAUGCGAAAAAUCCCGACUUCUGGAAGGGAUGUAUUUAUUAGAUUAAAAACCAAUGCGAGUCCUUGUGGCUCGUUUUCUUGGUGAUUCAUGAUAACUUUUCGAAUCGCAUGGCCUUUGCGCCGGCGAUGUUUCAUUCAAAUUUCUGCCCUAUCAACUGUCGAUGGUAAGGUAGUGGCUUACCAUGGUUGUAACGGGUGACGGAGAAUUAGGGUUCGAUUCCGGAGAGGGAGCCUGAGAAACGGCUACCACA
This 369-nucleotide ribosomal RNA is filed under the name Leuckartiara sp. USNM IZ 1450502. RNAcentral describes it as "SSU rRNA". It matches the Rfam family "Eukaryotic small subunit ribosomal RNA", at positions 51 to 414 of the family's 1831-position model. The record is from RNAcentral. Lineage: Eukaryota; Metazoa; Cnidaria; Hydrozoa; Anthoathecata; Pandeidae.